AUGAACGCUGGCGGCGUGCUUAACACAUGCAAGUCGAACGGGAAACCUUUUAUUGAAGCUUCGGCAGAUUUAGCUGGUUUCUAGUGGCGGACGGGUGAGUAACGCGUGGGUAACCUGCCUUAUACAGGGGGAUAACAGUCAGAAAUGGCUGCUAAUACCGCAUAAGCGCACAGAGCUGCAUGGCUCAGUGUGAAAAACUCCGGUGGUAUAAGAUGGAACCGCGUUGGAUUAGCUGGUUGGUGGGGUAACGGCCCACCAAGGCGACGAUCCAUAGCCGGCCUGAGAGGGUGAACGGCCACAUUGGGACUGAGACACGGCCCAGACUCCUACGGGAGGCAGCAGUGGGGAAUAUUGCACAAUGGGGGAAACCCUGAUGCAGCGACGCCGCGUGAAGGAAGAAGUAUCUCGGUAUGUAAACUUCUAUCAGCAGGGAAGAUAAUGACGGUACCUGACUAAGAAGCCCCGGCUAACUACGUG
This 477-nucleotide ribosomal RNA is filed under the name uncultured bacterium. RNAcentral describes it as "partial 16S ribosomal RNA". It matches the Rfam family "Bacterial small subunit ribosomal RNA", at positions 29 to 507 of the family's 1533-position model. The record is from RNAcentral.